GAGCCUGUAGCUCAGUCGGUAGAGCAACGGACUUUUAAUCCGUUGGUCGUGGGUUCGAGUCCCACCGGGCUCA
Molecule: transfer RNA, 73 nt
Filed under: Botrimarina colliarenosi
Lineage: Bacteria; Pseudomonadati; Planctomycetota; Planctomycetia; Pirellulales; Lacipirellulaceae
Rfam family: tRNA
About the family: Transfer RNA (tRNA) molecules are approximately 80 nucleotides in length. Their secondary structure includes four short double-helical elements and three loops (D, anti-codon, and T loops). Further hydrogen bonds mediate the characteristic L-shaped molecular structure. tRNAs have two regions of fundamental functional importance: the anti-codon, which is responsible for specific mRNA codon recognition, and the 3' end, to which the tRNAs corresponding amino acid is attached (by aminoacyl-tRNA synthetases). tRNAs cope with the degeneracy of the genetic code in two manners: having more than one tRNA (with a specific anti-codon) for a particular amino acid; and 'wobble' base-pairing, i.e. permitting non-standard base-pairing at the 3rd anti-codon position.
Source: Rfam by way of RNAcentral